RNAcentral lists this long non-coding RNA (1434 nucleotides) under Sus scrofa (pig). Its description in RNAcentral is "lncRNA (ENSSSCG00015071066.1)". The record is from RNAcentral. Lineage: Eukaryota; Metazoa; Chordata; Mammalia; Artiodactyla; Suidae.
GCAACCUAGCAAAGGCUUAACAGAUUGGUGGUGACUAUUAUCAGGCAAAGGCUUAACAAAUUGUUGGUGACUACUGCAGUUUUGGUUAGCAAGGUAAUACUUCCUAUGUUCUAGGCAUGGUCCCCAAAUAUUAACUCAUUUAAUCCUCAUGAACAAUUUUGUGAGGUCAGAACUUUUAUUUUUCUCAUCUUAUAGAUAGAAACUAUGGUAUUGAGAGGAUAAUAAAAUUGCCUAAAGUCACACAAUAAAUAGUGGAGUCAGGAUUUUUUCCCCUUUUUUGGCUGUGCCCAUGGCAUGCAAAAAUUUCUAGACAGCAGAUGGAACCUGCGCUAGAGCAGCCACCUGCACCACAGCAGCCACCUGCACCACUGUAGUGACAGUGCUGGAUCCUUAACCCGCUGAGCUACAAGACAAUUCCAGGAGUCAGGGUUUUGAAGCUCGGCAGUCUGAACCAGAGGUCCCCUGGGUUGCCCACUGCAUCCAGAUGGACUCUGGCCUGGGUGGGUCAGGACGUGCAAGGGAAGGACACCAUGGGUGACUCAGCCAAGCAGGGCUGGAGAAGCCUCUUGGUGAUGCCUCUUUUCUGGGAGGUCCUGCUGGCCCCAUUCACGAGGUCCCAGUGACCCUUACUCAGAGAUGCGUCUUUUUUUUUUUUUUUUUACUUCAAAAUAAUUUAUUUUAUGGUAUUCUAUUUUUUAAUAAUGAUUUUUAUUUUUUUCCAUGAUAGCUGGUUUACAGCGUUCUGUCGAUUUUCUACUGCACAGCAAGGUGACCCAGUCACGCGUACGUGUACACAUUCUUUUUUCUCACAUCAUCAGGCUCCAUCACAACUGACUAGGUAGAGCACUGGCAACUAUAUCGAGAUGCUCUUGAGUUUGGGGGGUCUUCUCUCCAGUCAUGGAGGCUGUUGAUCCAGGCUAAGCUGGUCGCGUUGAGGCCAGACGUCCCUGUGAGGGGAGCCAGCCCCGGGGACCACGGUCUGACAUUUUUCCAACCUCCUCAUGGUUGGUGCGUGGAUUUUUUUUUCCCCCCUUGGAUGUCUGCUGCAGAUUAGAUCCUCAAAACAGGCUCACGGUAGCCUUCUUCUGGGUGUUUUGGAGUCAAUGUUUCUGUCCUUGCUCGCUCCCGCUUGGUGAGAUCUCCGUUUUUGUGGAAGAUUACAAAAAUAGAGCAUUUUAGCUGGGAAGCAAUUCAGGAUGCGAAAAUAGGACUCUCACCACGGGGCCUCAGCCCAACAACCCAGCACGGCCUGGCAGGGUCAAGAGUCAAACGUGAUGUCCUCAAUGGCUUUCCAAAGACCAGCUGUGCCCUCCUCUGGGCACCCUCACCUCAACUGACUGCCUCCCCCCACCUCCGCCCCCACACUGGGGACACUCUACAUCAAGUUGCUUCCAGGAGGAAGUAUUUUUCCACAUUGUAUGGCAGAGAUAAUGA